Quercus lobata is the source of this 1728-nucleotide long non-coding RNA. RefSeq lists it as uncharacterized. The transcript is spliced from 3 exons. NCBI's taxonomy places the organism in Eukaryota, Viridiplantae, Streptophyta, Magnoliopsida, Fagales, Fagaceae. The record is from RefSeq and is a predicted model, not a curated record.
GGUAUCAAUAACUUGUGUAACUUCAUACCAACCCAAUUGUCAGCUCUAACAUGACAUGUUUUAUUAUAUAGGUACAAAACUUGGAAUAAUUACAAUGGCAUCUCCAGCCUUAUUGAAUCAUUAACUAGGAAACAAUAAUGGAGGUGAAUUGUUCAAAUAACAAAAUACAUGAUUUUCGUGUGGAUAAAUAUACCCACAUAUGGCAACAAUUCCAACAGAUUAAAAGGAGACUGGGUGGAGAUGUGUGAUAAAGACCAUUUCAACUGAAAAUCCCCAACUGAUCACUACUAUAUUAAAUGCUUUUCCCGCUGCAAACUUUGACUUGUUGUCUUGUUGUCAAUUCUUAGUCGGUAAGACUGGAUUGCUGCUUGCACCUGUUCUGUUGUCUCUGAAUUUGUUGUGACAAUUGAAACUAUUAGAAAAUGAUUUGUUACUGUAAUGAUGGGUGGUAUUAGAAAUGAAACUAUACAUAAUCUCCAUUUUUACUUUCUAGGUGAAACCUUAAUUUGUUACUGUCUCUGCCUCUACCCACUGUUUUGUAUCCCAUGAAACAAACUAUGAAAUUGAAUAAAUAUGGACUCUUCUGUAGCUUUCUUUUCCUCAUCAAUGAUUAUAUUCCAUGCCUUCCUCACCUUUGUCUAUUAUUUUGCUAUGGUAUAAAAAGGUAACAAAUAAAGAGAAAAGUAGACUAAAGUGAUUUAUCUAACUAUAAUAAGAAAUGGUAAAGAGUUUUGAUUAUAUAUUGCUAAACCCCAAACAUAAUAAAUUGCAUAUUAUUUUAAUGCAAAAGUUAAUCUUGCAAUUCACAUGCAAUUUAUCUUAGAAGAUAAGAUAAUGUAAGAGUUGCGGGCUUGUAGCCAUUUAAUCCCCAUGUGAGACUUCGUAGGUUGAACCUCGCAACCAUUCAUCAUCCCUGCUAUAGUGCAUUUAACCAAUCACUUCACAACAGAUCUUGAGGCCUUGAUGGGUCCACUAUGUAUGCUCAAUUACAAUAGGAGCGAUGAACUGCAAGAAGGGUUGUCUAAUUAUGAAAUCGAUACUAUGUAAAAGGCCAAAUUUCCAACAUGAUAACUUGACUAUUGAUGAAGAAAGUGUUAAGUUACCUUGGGUUAAGCAAUUGAGCCUGCCCAACAAUGGAGAGUGUAGUAAGGGGCUUGCGGUCAAACAAACAAGUUUUCUAACAUAUUGGGAGAGUGAUAAGAAGAUUUUGCAAUAUUUGGUCAAUGGGAACAAGAAGAUUACUACCACAUGUUUCAGGAGCAAUUAAGUGCAAACACUUGUUUGGAGAUGCUAAAUGAGGUUAAUGUGUGUCAUGUGGAGGCAUUGGUGUUUGUCAUGGUCCAGAAUAGCAAGAAGUUAUGCUGCCACUAAGGGUACUAUUGUUUCAUAUAAUUAUAGUGUGAAAACACUGUUUACCAUAGUGAGGACUUGCAUACAUGACCACAACUACAAUUUCAUAAGUAGGGGUUGAUUAAUAAUUCUUUUCCUGUAAUUUUUGGUAAUUAAAUCCCAAAUUAUGUAAUUGGUGUACAUGGGUAUUGUUAUAAUUUAAGGUGUAAUUAAAAAUUGUGAAAUGCAUUUUUGUAUUGGUAAAGCUGUAAUGCAAAAAAUUGCACACAAACAACUCAUGUACCCCAUUGAUUAGGCUACAUAUGUAACAGAACAAAUGUCCAAAUGUUGUCAUGUAGAUUUCUGACACAAUUUAUUUGCCUUGUGAUGAGUCAUUUU